CGAACUGGUGAGUAACACGUGGGAAACCUGCCCAGAAGCGGGGGAUAACACCUGGAAACAGAUGCUAAUACCGCAUAACAACUUGGACCGCAUGGUCCGAGUUUGAAAGAUGGCUUCGGCUAUCACUUUUGGAUGGUCCCGCGGCGUAUUAGCUAGAUGGUGGGGUAACGGCUCACCAUGGCAAUGAUACGUAGCCGACCUGAGAGGGUAAUCGGCCACAUUGGGACUGAGACACGGCCCAAACUCCUACGGGAGGCAGCAGUAGGGAAUCUUCCACAAUGGACGAAAGUCUGAUGGAGCAACGCCGCGUGAGUGAAGAAGGGUUUCGGCUCGUAAAACUCUGUUGUUAAAGAAGAACAUAUCUGAGAGUAACUGUUCAGGUAUUGACGGUAUUUAACCAGAAAGCCACGGCUAACUACGUGCCAGCAGCCGCGGUAAUACGUAGGUGGCAAGCGUUGUCCGGAUUUAUUGGGCGUAAAGCGAGCGCAGGCGGUUUUUUAAGUCUGAUGUGAAAGCCUUCGGCUCAACCGAAGAAGUGCAUCGGAAACUGGGAAACUUGAGUGCAGAAGAGGACAGUGGAACUCCAUGUGUAGCGGUGAAAUGCGUAGAUAUAUGGAAGAACACCAGUGGCGAAAGCGGCUGUCUGGUCUGUAACUGACGCUGAGGCUCGAAAGUAUGGGUAGCAACAGAUUAGAUACCCUGGUAGUCCAUACCGUAACGAUGAUGCUAGUGUUGAGGGUUUCGUCCUCAGUGCUGCAGCUACGCAUAGCAUCCGCCUGG
This 780-nucleotide ribosomal RNA is filed under the name Lactiplantibacillus plantarum. Its description in RNAcentral is "bacterial SSU rRNA". It matches the Rfam family "Bacterial small subunit ribosomal RNA", at positions 99 to 876 of the family's 1533-position model. The record is from RNAcentral. Lineage: Bacteria; Bacillati; Bacillota; Bacilli; Lactobacillales; Lactobacillaceae.